ACUUGAAUAUCUUAUGUGUAGAGUAUAACAUUGAAGAUGUUGUUGAGGUUAUUAUGCCUUCAGGUG
RNAcentral lists this transfer RNA (66 nucleotides) under Cryptotermes declivis. RNAcentral's name for it is "tRNA-Phe". Lineage: Eukaryota; Metazoa; Arthropoda; Insecta; Blattodea; Kalotermitidae. The record is from RNAcentral.